This 460-nucleotide ribosomal RNA is filed under the name uncultured bacterium. RNAcentral's name for it is "partial 16S ribosomal RNA". It matches the Rfam family "Bacterial small subunit ribosomal RNA", at positions 338 to 795 of the family's 1533-position model. The record is from RNAcentral.
CCUACGGGUGGCUGCAGUGGGGAAUCUUCGGCAAUGGGCGGAAGUCUGAACCAGCCAUGCCGCGUGCAGGAAGACAGCUCUAUGGGUUGUAAACUUCUUUUGUAAAAGGGUAAACCUGAAUACGUGUAUUCUGCUGAAAGUCCUUUACGAAUAAGGAUCGGCUAACUCCGUUCCAGCAGCCGCGGUAAUACGGAGGAUCCAAGCGUUAUCCGGAUUUAUUGGGUUUAAAGGGUGCGUAGGCGGAUGGAUAAGUUAGUGGUGAAAUGUCCGAGCUUAACUCGGGAACUGCCUCUAAUACUGUUGAUCUUGAGAGCAGAUGAGGUAGGCGGAAUGUAUGGUGUAGCGGUGAAAUGCUUAGAGAUCAGACAGAACACCGAUGGCGAAGGCAGCUUACCAAUCUAUAUCUGACGUUGAGGCACGAAAGCGUGGGGAGCAAACAGGAUUAGAUACCCUAGUAGUC